CCUGCGCGUCCGGCCCCAGCCGCGGUCUGGGCAUCUACACCGCCCGAAAAGCGGCUAUAAACGCCCGCGCGUCUUUUGCGCUCCCCUCUUCACUCAGGACACUGGUCCUCCCACGCCUGAGACCGACGUCGCCAGGACCGCGGGGUCGGGGGGACUCGGCUGUUCCCCGUCUUUCAAAUAAAGCUGUUUGCCUAACUCA
Long non-coding RNA from Rhinopithecus roxellana (golden snub-nosed monkey), 199 nucleotides. RefSeq lists it as uncharacterized. NCBI's taxonomy places the organism in Eukaryota, Metazoa, Chordata, Mammalia, Primates, Cercopithecidae. The transcript has 2 exons. The record is from RefSeq and is a predicted model, not a curated record.